AAAAAAUUCUUAAAUUUUAAUUUUAUUUCACAUAAAUCUCUCUAACCUGCUAUAAUAGGUUUAUAGGUUAAAAAAACAAUGAGACUACAUUUUUACCUUCUUUCCUCACACUAAAAAAAAAGGGCCAUUUCAACUUCAUAUAUACUUAUCACAAAAAUAUCAAUGCUAUCACAACGAUAUGCUUCCUUGAAAGGAGGAUUUACCAUUCGUUGAACAGUAUUAAAGUUGUAUUUGUAGACGUUACACUGGAGUUUAGAGAGAUUUUUUAAUAUGGAAGCAUGCUAUUGCAGGUUGGAAAGAUUUUUUGUGAAGCAAUAUUAAAGUUUAGGGAUUUUUUAGU
This 340-nucleotide unclassified non-coding RNA is filed under the name Hevea brasiliensis (rubber tree). Lineage: Eukaryota; Viridiplantae; Streptophyta; Magnoliopsida; Malpighiales; Euphorbiaceae. The record is from RNAcentral.